UUAAAUUAAUAUAAUAAAUAUUAAAUUAGUAAAAGGUAACUAAAAAAUUAAAAAAUUUGGCGGUAUUUUAUUCUAAUCAGAGGAACUUGUUUUAUAAUUGAUAAUCCUCAUUGAAUCUUACUUAAAUUUGUGAAAUUUGUAUAUCGUUGUCAUAAGAAAAUCUUUUUAAGGAUUAAUUUUCAAUAUUAAUAAAAUUUAAUAAUGUCAGAUCAAGGUGCAGUUUAUAUUUAAGAAAAAAUGAGUUACAAUUAAAUUAUUAAUAUGGAUUUUUAAUUUAAAAUUUUUAAUGAAAGUGGAUUUGAUAUUAAAUUUUUAAAGAUAGUAAAAUUGAUAAAAGUUUUAAAAUAUGU
This 350-nucleotide ribosomal RNA is filed under the name unidentified. RNAcentral's name for it is "Chetoneura sp. NB-2020 partial 12S ribosomal RNA". The record is from RNAcentral.